RNAcentral lists this ribosomal RNA (468 nucleotides) under uncultured bacterium. RNAcentral's name for it is "partial 16S ribosomal RNA". It matches the Rfam family "Bacterial small subunit ribosomal RNA", at positions 28 to 507 of the family's 1533-position model. The record is from RNAcentral.
GACGAACGCUGGCGGCGUGCUUAACACAUGCAAGUCGAACGGACAGGCCCUGCUUUUGUGGGGUGCUCGAGUGGCGAACGGGUGAGUAACACGUGAGUAACCUGCCCUUGACUUUGGGAUAACUUCAGGAAACUGGGGCUAAUACCGGAUAGGAGCUCCUGCUGCAUGGUGGGGGUUGGAAAGUUUCGGCGGUUGGGGAUGGACUCGCGGGUUAUCAGCUUGUUGGUGGGGUAGUGACUUACCAAGGCUUUGACGGGUAGCCGGCCUGAGAGGGUGAACGGGCACAAUGGGCCUGAGAGACGGCGCAGACUCCUACGGGAGGCAGUAGUGGGGAAUAUUGCACAAUGGGCGGGAGUCUGAUGUAGCAACGCCGCGUGCGGGAUGAUGGCCUUCGGGUUGUAAACAGCUUUGGCCUGUGACGAAGCGAGAGUGACGGUAACGGGUAAAGAAGCACCGGCUAACUACGUG